UGGGUCUGGUUUGCUUUGAAUUGACUCAUUGGGAAUAUUGGUCUGUUUCUGUCUCUGUUUCUAUCUCUGAAAUCUAGUGUGGAAGGACCAAUGAAAUUGUCAAAACUUGGUUGGUUACUGUCUUUGGAAGUAGAGCAAAAUCUUUUGUUUUGAGUUUUUUGUGGUGUUUUAAAAGGUCUGGAUUUUAUUCUAUGUAUUGGGAUUUUGGGUGAGAAAGCGCUUUAAGAGUUGGGUCUGGUUUACUUUGAAUUGGAUUGUUGGGAAUUUUGGUAAAUUUUUUAAGGUGCUAGGAAUACAAAUCCCAACAAGCUCUUUUAGUUCUUGGAUUCGUUUUCUUAUUUGAAGUGUAAGUAGGUGUAUGGGUUUACAACUUAGUCAAAUAUAUAUCAUCUGCAUUUUCUAUGCAUUUCGUUCUUCAAAUUGAUGCAUAGCAAAAUAAAAAGGGGGAAAUAUUUUCGUAUAAUUUCAUAUGCAUUUAGUUAUUCAAAUUAGUGCAGGCUUCUUCAAGGUACAGUAGUUUGGUUAUUUUGGAGACUUUCUUAUUUUCAUACCAUGUCAUGCUUCCUAAGAAGGUUGUUUUAAAGGACGAGGUGGACAUUGACCCCAAUGAUCAAUUAUCUGUUCUUGAGCAUUUGGACAAAGUUGUAUGGUUUUUUCCUUUCCCACUUUCAUUAAGACCUACAAAACCUCAGCACCCUGUGCUUAAUUAUUAAUUGGUCAUUGAUAAUACCUUGAUGGCUAGAUACUAGUAAGUGUAUUUUAAUAAGUUCAUACUACUUCAGGUCAGAAAUCUGAUUGAUAAAGGUAGCAGAAAGGCUGUUAGUAGGUCAGACCUCAAGCUUUCGUUAGUUCGUAUAAAGGCCCAAUACGUGAGUACAGACCCAGCACAUCUAAGCUGUGAAAAGAAGGAAUGUUCCAAACACCUUGUAUAUUGACAAGAUCCAGCCCUUUGAAGUUCGCCAAUCCUCAAAUGCCCUUGUAUGGUCAUCUCUCAAGCAUAAGAUUCAACCGGCGCAAUGGCACCUAAAGUUGAACUUUGACACGCUUGGCGCUCCUCCGUUGGAGUCGCUCGACCAGCUGGCAUCUGGAAUGAACCGAAGGAAAGCAGCCCAACUCUUCUACCAGACGUGGUAUAGGAACUAGUGUUUCCCUUUCUCCAUCCUCUCUGUUUUCUCUGUUAGUUAAUUAUGGCAUUUUCCCAACUCAAUUUCCUGCUACUUCCUCUAGUGCAAGACGAGCUUUUAAGAAAGAAGGUUGCAUUGAUGAUUCCUCUGUUACAUCAAAUGAAACGUAUCUUGAGUGUUCCUUAAAAAUCCUGCAACUAAUGUUCAUAACAAAUGAUCAGGUGUUGAAAUGAGCUCUCACUUGUAAAAAUUAUGAUAACAAAAUCCAUGUCUCAGCUUGAAGGAAAGUACCAAGAUAAUUUUGUUAUGCAUAUUUUUGUGUAUUAUCUAUAUGGAUACCAUUGUCUUUCUAGUCAUGUUUUUGGUUCCAAGUCACAUGCCUCUUGGCAUUCUGUAGACACUAUACAUAUUAUUUCCUUAUAAAUGAGGAUCCAAUUAAUUGACUUUCAAAUGUAGAGAGUUCCAUGUGAGUUUUUGCACUCUCACACGUCUGUGAUCACAUGGUUCGAUCAUGCCCCUUCAUUACACUCUAAGGAGUAUGCAACAAGCUGACAUGCAGGGUUCCCUGCCUUACCACAUGUAUAAUUUUGUGAUCUCACACAUAUGCGACCCAUCAAACGGAGAUCAUGGGUUUGAUAGGUACCACUUCACUAUUGGCUUAGUUUUCAUUGAAUGUAAACUAAUUUUGUGUUUUUUUUUUCUUAAUUGUAUAGGUGGGUUGAUAUUCUUGAGGCCUGAUAAUGGUGGCCCACUCCAAUUUGUAACAGCUGCGGCAUUUCUUUGUAAAUUAUACAAAGACUAUCUUGGUAUUAUUAGAAGUUACGGAGGGAGUUGUGGUUCUCAAUCAUUUUCCAUGAAGUGUCAUUUGUUGAUAAUGUGGAUUUGAAGCU
RNA transcript from Magnolia sinica, 2014 nucleotides. RefSeq lists it as uncharacterized. The transcript has 4 exons. The record is from RefSeq and is a predicted model, not a curated record. NCBI's taxonomy places the organism in Eukaryota, Viridiplantae, Streptophyta, Magnoliopsida, Magnoliales, Magnoliaceae.